RNAcentral lists this ribosomal RNA (429 nucleotides) under Chloroflexota bacterium. RNAcentral's name for it is "Chloroflexi bacterium partial 16S ribosomal RNA". It matches the Rfam family "Bacterial small subunit ribosomal RNA", at positions 355 to 776 of the family's 1533-position model. The record is from RNAcentral. Lineage: Bacteria; Bacillati; Chloroflexota.
UGGGGAAUAUUGCACAAUGGGCGCAAGCCUGAUGCAGCCAUGCCGCGUGUAUGAAGAAGGCCUUCGGGUUGUAAAGUACUUUCAGCGGGGAGGAAGGGAGUAAAGUUAAUACCUUUGCUCAUUGACGUUACCCGCAGAAGAAGCACCGGCUAACUCCGUGCCAGCAGCCGCGGUAAUACGGAGGGUGCAAGCGUUAAUCGGAAUUACUGGGCGUAAAGCGAGCGCAGGCGGUUUCUUAAGUCAGAUGUGAAAUCCCCGGGCUCAACCUGGGAACUGCAUCUGAUACUGGCAAGCUUGAGUCUCGUAGAGGGGGGUAGAAUUCCAGGUGUAGCGGUGAAAUGCGUAGAGAUCUGGAGGAAUACCGGUGGCGAAAGCGGCCCCCUGGACGAAGACUGACGCUCAGGUGCGAAAGCGUGGGGAGCAAACAGG